RNAcentral lists this ribosomal RNA (446 nucleotides) under uncultured bacterium. RNAcentral's name for it is "partial 16S ribosomal RNA". It matches the Rfam family "Bacterial small subunit ribosomal RNA", at positions 338 to 795 of the family's 1533-position model. The record is from RNAcentral.
CCUACGGGAGGCAGCAGUCGAGAAUCAUUCACAAUGGGGGAAACCCUGAUGGUGCGACGCCGCGUGGGGGAAUGAAGGUCUUCGGAUUGUAAACCCCUGUCAUGUGGGAGCAAAUUAAAAAGAUAGUACCACAAGAGGAAGAGACGGCUAACUCUGUGCCAGCAGCCGCGGUAAUACAGAGGUCUCAAGCGUUGUUCGGAAUCACUGGGCGUAAAGCGUGCGUAGGCUGUUUCGUAAGUCGUGUGUGAAAGGCGCGGGCUCAACCCGCGGACGGCACAUGAUACUGCGAGACUAGAGUAAGGGAGGGGGAACCGGAAUUCUCGGUGUAGCAGUGAAAUGCGUAGAUAUCGAGAGGAACACUCGUGGCGAAGGCGGGUUCCUGGACAUUAACUGACGCUGAGGCACGAAGGCCAAGGGAGCGAAAGGGAUUAGAUACCCCAGUAGUC